GAUGAACGCUGGCGGCGUGCCUAAUACAUGCAAGUCGAGCGAACGGACGAGAAGCUUGCUUCUCUGAUGUUAGCGGCGGACGGGUGAGUAACACGUGGAUAACAUACCUAUAAGACUGGGAUAACUUCGGGAAACCGGAGCUAAUACCGGAUGAUAUUUUGAACCGCAUGGUUCAAAAGUGAAAGACGGUCUUGCUGUCACUUAUAGAUGGAUCCGCGCUGCAUUAGCUAGUUGGUAAGGUAACGGCUUACCAAGGCAACGAUGCAUAGCCGACCUGAGAGGGUGAUCGGCCACACUGUAACUGAGACACGGUCCAGACUCCUACGGUAGGCAGCAGUAGGGAAUCUUCCGCAAUGGGCGAAAGCCUGACGGAGCAACGCCGCGUGAGUGAUGAAGGUCUUCGGAUCGUAAAACUCUGUUAUUAGUGAAGAACAUAUGUGUAAGUAACUGUGCACAUCUUGACGGUACCUAAUCAGAAAGCCACGGCUAACUACGUG
This 497-nucleotide ribosomal RNA is filed under the name uncultured bacterium. RNAcentral's name for it is "partial 16S ribosomal RNA". It matches the Rfam family "Bacterial small subunit ribosomal RNA", at positions 28 to 507 of the family's 1533-position model. The record is from RNAcentral.